RNAcentral lists this ribosomal RNA (251 nucleotides) under uncultured prokaryote. RNAcentral describes it as "partial 16S rRNA". It matches the Rfam family "Bacterial small subunit ribosomal RNA", at positions 525 to 775 of the family's 1533-position model. The record is from RNAcentral.
ACGUAGGGUGCGAGCGUUGUCCGGAAUUAUUGGGCGUAAAGAGCUUGUAGGCGGUUUGUCGCGUCUGUCGUGAAAACCAGGGGCUUAACUCCUGGCGUGCGGUGGGUACGGGCAGGCUAGAGUGUGGUAGGGGAGACUGGAAUUCCUGGUGUAGCGGUGAAAUGCGCAGAUAUCAGGAGGAACACCGAUGGCGAAGGCAGGUCUCUGGGCCAUUACUGACGCUGAGAAGCGAAAGCAUGGGGAGCGAACAG